UUCUUACAGGCCGAUAUUAGGUUACGCCACUGGCAUAUUGCAAAUUGGGAAUAUUUUCUAUGUUUUUGCGCAUGUGCGUUACUCCACCGACACGUAUUAAGCGGUGAAUAUUUCAUUCAUUGGUGCUUGCUUUAAAAACGAACAGGUGUGAUGGCGUCUUGGAAAAUUUUCAUGGGCAUAAUAUAGUUACAUAUCGCCGAAUUGCGGAUUUUCGAGUCCAUGAAUAAUCGAUGUUUUGGAGAUUGGUUUGUUAGACCAUUUUAUCCAUUUACCGUUACGGGAUCUGAAUACAUUUGCUUGACAUAACGCACCUGUUCUUCGCAUCACCUAAGCCAGAGCUUUGAUUGCCGAUAACCUCGAGGCAUCUCGUUAAUUAACGAGUUUUAAAAAGCCCUCUUUUUAAUUAAGAGGGUUUUACUUUUCCUGUUUUUUUUGUAUCGCACGUAAUUAUCUCAUGUCAAACUUGUGGUCACGCAUGGUUGGUUUCCCACUGCUGGACCUUAUUGUCAUCCGAUUGUCCACCUAGAGGCCGAUUGUAGCGGUUAUUACCCGAGCUGAGGGCUCCCGGAUAUCCUGAGAUUUGUAACCACGGGGGUGGACAACCGACACGAAGAAUCUUAAGGGGAGCAGGAACACCACGUAGCCGCCACGUUUCCGGAGAACGGUGAAAUAAACUUAGCCUUUCGAUAUUAGUACUAUUUGCCAUUGCAUAGGCAC
Photinus pyralis (common eastern firefly) is the source of this 717-nucleotide long non-coding RNA. RefSeq lists it as uncharacterized. The transcript has 3 exons. The record is from RefSeq and is a predicted model, not a curated record. NCBI's taxonomy places the organism in Eukaryota, Metazoa, Arthropoda, Insecta, Coleoptera, Lampyridae.